UUAAAGGAAUUGACGGGGGCCCGCACAAGCGGAGGAACAUGUGGUUUAAUUCGAUGAUACGCGAGGAACCUUACCUGGGCUUAGAUGGGAGUGACAGCUGUCGAAAGAUGGUUUUCUUCGGACACUCUUCAAGGUGCUGCAUGGUUGUCGUCAGCUCGUGCCGUGAGGUGUCGGGUUAAGUCCCAUAACGAGCGCAACCCUUACCGUUAGUUACCAUCAGGUUAAGCUGGGGACUCUAGCGGGACUGCCACCGUAAGGUGAGAGGAAGUGGGGAUGACGUCAGAUCAGCACGGCCCUUAUGUCCAGGGCUACACACGUGUUACAAUGGCCAGUACAAAGGGCAGCUACCGGGUGACCGGAUGCUAAUCUCUAAAGCUGGUCUCAGUUCGGAUCGAAGUCUGCAACCCGACUUCGUGAAGCUGGAUUCGCUAGUAAUCGCGCAUCAGCCAUGGCGCGGUGAAUACGUUCCCGGGCCUU
RNAcentral lists this ribosomal RNA (477 nucleotides) under uncultured Sphingobacteriales bacterium. RNAcentral's name for it is "bacterial SSU rRNA". It matches the Rfam family "Bacterial small subunit ribosomal RNA", at positions 901 to 1382 of the family's 1533-position model. Lineage: Bacteria; Pseudomonadati; Bacteroidota; Sphingobacteriia; Sphingobacteriales. The record is from RNAcentral.